AGAGAGAGACAUGCGCGCAUAUCAAUAAGCGGAGGAAAAGAAACUAACAAGGAUUCCCUUAGUAACGGCGAGUGAAGCGGGAAGAGCUCAAAUUUGAAAUCUUCAAGGUUUUACCUUGACGAAUUGUAGUUUAAAGAAGUGUUUUCUGCUGAAGUUUUGGUAAAAGUUCUUUGGAAUAGGACAUCAUAGAGGGUGAGAAUCCCGUAUUUGACCAUUAUUUUCAGCUUUGUGAUACACUUUCAAAGAGUCGGAUUGUUUGGGAAUGCAGUCCAGAAUGGGUGGUAAAUUUCAUCUAAAGCUAAAUAUUGGCGAGAGACCGAUAGCGAGCAAGUACCGUGAGGGAAAGAUGAAAAGAACUUUGAAGAAGAGAGUUAAACAGUACGUGAAAUUGUCAAAAGGGAAGCGUUUGACACCAGUGUUGUUUUCUCGAAAAUCAAUUAAAAAUGGCUCGAUUUUGUAUUGCUUGAGACCUUAAAAGCUCACUGUACAUUUUUCGUGUCUUUUUUAAUGCACUUUUCGUUUAACAAGUCAACAUCAGUUUCUUUUGUUGUAAAAGGGUCAUUGGAAGGUGGCUUUCUUUUCGGAGAAAGUGUUUAUAGCCUUUGGCCUCUGCAAUCGGAGAGACUGAGGUCUGCAGCGUAGACUCUUCGGGGUUAGAUACAUUUGUGCUAAGUUAUAGCUUUUUAUAGACAACUUGUUGACUAUAAUUAGUCUUGUAGCUUACUCGCUUAUGCUAUUUUACCUACGCUUAGGAUGUUGAAGUCAUCGUAUCGCGC
This 776-nucleotide ribosomal RNA is filed under the name uncultured Neocallimastigales. RNAcentral describes it as "partial large subunit ribosomal RNA". It matches the Rfam family "Eukaryotic large subunit ribosomal RNA", at positions 23 to 645 of the family's 3401-position model. Lineage: Eukaryota; Fungi; Neocallimastigomycota; Neocallimastigomycetes; Neocallimastigales. The record is from RNAcentral.